This 126-nucleotide microRNA precursor is filed under the name Brassica oleracea var. oleracea. RNAcentral describes it as "MIR9563 microRNA precursor family". It matches the Rfam family "MIR9563 microRNA precursor family". Lineage: Eukaryota; Viridiplantae; Streptophyta; Magnoliopsida; Brassicales; Brassicaceae. The record is from Rfam by way of RNAcentral.
GGAAUAUAAAAACCCGUCUCUUAACUUUUAACUAAAAAAGCUAAGAACCGGCUCUUAAAUAAGAAUUUUAAGAACCGAUUCUUAGUUUUUUUAGUUAAAAGUUAAGAGAUGAUGUUAGGAGUUUUC